ACACAUGCAAGUCGAACGGAGUAGAAAUACUUAGUGGCUGGCCGCAUGGUCUGGUCGUGGAAAGAAUUUCGGUUGGGGAUGGACUCGCGGCCUAUCAGGUUGUUGGUGAGGUAAUGGCUCACCAAGCCUACGACGGGUAGCCGGCCUGAGAGGGUGACCGGCCACACUGGGACUGAGACACGGCCCAGACUCCUACGGGAGACAGCAGUGGGGAAUAUUGCACAAUGGGCGAAAGCCUGAUGCAGCAACGCCGCGUGAGGGAUGACGGCCUUCGGGUUGUAAACCUCUUUUAGUAGGGAAGAAGCGAAAGUGACGGUACCUGCAGAAAAAGCACCGGCGUCGACGCGGCCG
This 351-nucleotide ribosomal RNA is filed under the name uncultured bacterium. Its description in RNAcentral is "bacterial SSU rRNA". It matches the Rfam family "Bacterial small subunit ribosomal RNA", at positions 51 to 517 of the family's 1533-position model. The record is from RNAcentral.